This 108-nucleotide microRNA precursor is filed under the name Gossypium hirsutum (cotton). RNAcentral describes it as "miR7505 stem-loop (ghr-MIR7505)". Lineage: Eukaryota; Viridiplantae; Streptophyta; Magnoliopsida; Malvales; Malvaceae. The record is from miRBase by way of RNAcentral.
UAUUUACGGCUUCAGAAACCAUCCCUUCCUUGCUUAAUUUAUGGAAUCUGUAAUAUACAGAUUGACGCCCCUUGCAAGGAAGGAAUGGUUUCUGAAGCUUUAGGUAAC